RNAcentral lists this ribosomal RNA (475 nucleotides) under Salmonella enterica subsp. enterica serovar Agona. Its description in RNAcentral is "bacterial SSU rRNA". It matches the Rfam family "Bacterial small subunit ribosomal RNA", at positions 1040 to 1515 of the family's 1533-position model. The record is from RNAcentral. Lineage: Bacteria; Pseudomonadati; Pseudomonadota; Gammaproteobacteria; Enterobacterales; Enterobacteriaceae.
GCUGCAUGGCUGUCGUCAGCUCGUGUUGUGAAAUGUUGGGUUAAGUCCCGCAACGAGCGCAACCCUUAUCCUUUGUUGCCAGCGAUUCGGUCGGGAACUCAAAGGAGACUGCCAGUGAUAAACUGGAGGAAGGUGGGGAUGACGUCAAGUCAUCAUGGCCCUUACGACCAGGGCUACACACGUGCUACAAUGGCGCAUACAAAGAGAAGCGACCUCGCGAGAGCAAGCGGACCUCAUAAAGUGCGUCGUAGUCCGGAUUGGAGUCUGCAACUCGACUCCAUGAAGUCGGAAUCGCUAGUAAUCGUGGAUCAGAAUGCCACGGUGAAUACGUUCCCGGGCCUUGUACACACCGCCCGUCACACCAUGGGAGUGGGUUGCAAAAGAAGUAGGUAGCUUAACCUUCGGGAGGGCGCUUACCACUUUGUGAUUCAUGACUGGGGUGAAGUCGUAACAAGGUAACCGUAGGGGAACCUGC